Long non-coding RNA from Mytilus trossulus (common blue mussel), 412 nucleotides. RefSeq lists it as uncharacterized. The transcript has 2 exons. Lineage: Eukaryota; Metazoa; Mollusca; Bivalvia; Mytilida; Mytilidae. The record is from RefSeq and is a predicted model, not a curated record.
AUAAGAACCAAAAUCGUACUGUCACACGCAAUAUCGAUGGUGUUAUUGCAAAAAAGAUUUUUAAUACAUAUAAAUUGUUUAAAUGAAGAAAACAUAAUACUAGCAGUAUGUGGCCCUUAAUUAUGACCUUUGUGAGGACAAAUGCUGUGUAUAUGACUUUCCCAGUGGCACUUGUAGUUGGUUUUGUUGGAUAUAAUUUUGAAGCUGUUAUUGGAAGAACCGAAUCACCAUGGAAAACAAAAAGUAUUCAGGAAGAGCGGGAUGAAAGACAGUUUAAAGAAUUGAAGGAACAUAGUCCUAUUGAUGUACCAAGUUUAAAGUCUAAAAUGGAUAUACCAAAAACAGUUUUGAAUAGAAAUGACAAAAGUCAACUGAAUCACUGAACAAUAGCAAUAAAAUUUUUAUGUUUUCA